Salvelinus fontinalis (brook trout) is the source of this 6364-nucleotide long non-coding RNA. RefSeq lists it as uncharacterized. The transcript has 2 exons. Lineage: Eukaryota; Metazoa; Chordata; Actinopteri; Salmoniformes; Salmonidae. The record is from RefSeq and is a predicted model, not a curated record.
UCUCUUUAAUAACUUGGGACUGAUUUCCAGUCAAGUGCAAAGCAAGUCUGAGACGUAAGCGUACAUUUAGUGUUUCAGUAGAAACAACCAGAAAGAAAAGAUGUACGAAAACAACAAAAAAAGCAGAAAGCAAAAUAGCGGAACAAAAAAAGAAGAAAGAAGAGAGAAAAGGAGAGUAGAGAAAGAAGAGAGAGAGGAAAAAGUAAAGCCAUGGGGCAUUAUCUCGUUGUCAGCCACGUUAUCCGCGGUCCAAACAGAUGUACAUUUAGCGGGGGAGACACCUGCUGUGCUGCUAGCCUGGCUAGCUCUCUGAUUAGCAGGGGGAGACGGCUGGUUCCCAGGGUUCCUUUCCCAGUCUCCCUCCACGAUGACCUUGGCUGCUCCCACAGCGCUCCUCAGCUAUGGCUCCCCUGCUAGGGCUGAAUGGUGGCCCGGGACGCAGGGCCUCGCCCGAGCUGCUUUGAAACUAAUCCCCCUACAUUGUGCUAGCACGGCACCCUACCUGGCUCGCUAGCCUAGAGGCGGCGCAGCGGCCAUUGAAAGUAAGGUGAUGAAUGAAGGCGUAGCUGCAGGAAGCCUGGCUCCCCACGAAGCCCAUGCGACAGUGCAGGCCACAAAGCUGCUUAAAACAGUCACUAGCGUUUUUCCUCAGUUUUGGUGGAUUUCGGAUAAGACGAAAGAUGCCCCAAGUAGUCCUUGUUGUCUUGGGCUUUUGGCGAAAGCAUCUCAUUCUCUGAAUUUGAGGAGCGGGAACGGUGGUUAGGCUUUCGAAAAACGUAAACAACGAGUCACCAGCCGUCCUUAGAUGCAAAGUAUACCUGGAGACACUGGUCAACACAUCAUUGCAUACACACCAAGGCAAAUCUGACACAAACACGCACAUGCAGACACACGCAAACCUGCACACUCAAGACAACUGGAAAGGAAAUGCAUAGUGCUGCGAACAGUAGGAGCCGGCCAAAAUUGAUCGAGGGUGGCAAGGGACAGCGGACGGACCUCUUAAAGCGGUAGCGUCCUUUUUUUCAAGACCACCACCCCACUGUUUUGAGGGACGCAAGAGGGAGCCGACCCAUGUCCAGCUAAGCCACAGAACCAACCUUGACCAUGACCCUGUUGUCACAGACGUGUAUGGAUUGUCUCAUCCUUUAUCAUCUACAAGCAUUCACAUAACGUCAUGGAAAAUGCUAGAAGCGUUUCGAGUAUGACCGUCACUCGCUAAUGUUUACGGAAAUUCCACAUGACACCACGAGAACCUCCUGAGAUCCAUAAAGUCUAUUCAUUACUGUUCCUCAGUCCUAGCCGACAAAAGAGGGGUUUGAUCGUGUUUGGAAUUCACCACAGUGGGAAUAUAAAAGCCCACUCAUUCCAUCAUUCACACAUCUAGAAGAACCGGGGCUGGCAGCAAUGCUCGAUUCUGCCAAUUCAGAUUUCGCCCGGUGACACGGAAUCGUAAAUCUGUCUCCAAAUACAUUUAGACGGCGGUAAAAAACAAAACCCACAACCAUCUCAUUGUAACGUCACCACGCUGUAGAGAGAAGAGAGGACUGCUGGGUGUCAGACUCUUAAGGGAGCCGAAGCAGAAUUGAAUGCCUCUUGUCAGGGGGUUCUGAUGCGAUUAGCGCCCCCUGCUAGGGCAGGGAUAGUGAAGUUGUCUGGAGCUGGCAAGGAGACUCAAAUGGCACCACGGGAUGCCCUCUCGCCUGGAAGCCUUCCCUGGACGCAGCAGGGGAGGUGGGGGCCAGGGUAUCCACCAUCCACACCAGGGAGUCUCUCCCUCUCUGUUGUGUGUGUGUGUGUGUGUGUGUGUGUGUGUGUGUGUGUGUGUGUGUGUGUGUGUGUGUGUGUGUGUGUGUGUGUGUGUGUGUGUGUGUGUGUGUGUGUGUGUGUGUGUGUGUGUGUGUGUGUGUGUGUGUGUAAUUUGACUUUUAUUGUUAUAGUGAAGAGAGCGUCAAUUGGUCACUGUCAGGUCUGCCUGAUUGCAGCAGAGGCUCCUGGAUGUGUGUGUGUGUGUGUCUCCAACCCCCAUUCCUAACCUCUGAAUGUCAUGUCCAUGUCAAAUCGCUGCCGUAUGUCGUUGGAACAAAGCUUUGUCCUUGAGAAUCACUGGAGAUGAUACUAAUGAUAUCCACAUCAUUGUGUACCUCCAAAACAAUCUCCGCCAUAACCCGAGACACAACAUACCAUAUACUAUGUGUAAAAAAAAAGGUCGCUGAAAAAACAACAACGACUCAUCGAGAGAGACAACUCCCACGAGCUCUUCUAGGCCUAAAUCUCUCUCUCCUUUAAAAAAAAAAGAAUACACAAAUGUUUCCCGGCGACACUGAGACGUGUUUCUUCCUAUCGUUAUUCUCUUUAGCCUUGAACGUCUCUCUCUGGCCUGUAGACGUUGAGAAGACGAUCUCAUGAUGUAUUCGUGCUUGAAAGGGACAUUUGGUUCAUGAUGCACGAAUGUAAGUGAAUAAUGCAGCCAGUAAAGCAUCUCUCCUCAUCACUUUCUUUGCCCCUGCAGUGUUUUGCAUGCAUUUGUAUAGAAUUACUCCCCCUAUGUAGACAUCAUACUGGUGUAGUAAGAUAAAACACCACGUGAAAUCAAGUGAACCAGUGGCAUACAGGAAGUGACAUACGAUCUUACAACCCCUUCGCUACUUCUCCCUGCUUCUCUCGAGCCCUCUGACCACCUACGUGGUGUGUGGAUCAGACGGAUAAAGUAUUUUGGGUUCCGGGGUAUUUCAGACGUUUCAGUUGAUACCCCUACCUCUCUCUCUGCUGCAGUCCCCCCUGAGGCGGUGUAAAAUAAGACUUCAAAGCGCUCUCCGAAAUAGUCCUGACACAAUCUCAUUUCCUCGUGUUGCAAGGAGGGCUGCUCAGACUGGAAUGUCUCCCUCAGACUGUGUGUCCUAAGUAGCACCCUAUUCCCUAUAGAGCGCACUACUUUUGACCAGAGUCCUAUUGUCCCUGGUCAAAAGGAGUGCUCUAUACAGGGAAUAAGGUGCCAUUUAGGAUGUAGACCGGGUCUGCUCUACCUCAGAGCGACUGACUGCUGCAUGAUGACGGGAGGCCAUUUUGACAGAGGCGAUUAAAUAUGGACACUUGGACAUCUGCUUAAGGCAAAGCCAGAUGGGAGGAGAAUUUACAAGGGCCCGGCUGGGUCACGUUGGGUUCGGGGUGAAAAGGAAAUGGCAGAGGCUCAUUUGGUAAGUGGCUAUAACGAGUGACGGCCCACAAAUGACUGGGAAGUAUGACAUUGUACAGAGGACGUAUUAGCGGUUACGUUUCGGUCUGUGGGAUUGGGAGAUGUGAUGAUAGUGUAUUGGCAGUCGAUGUAUUGUAUCUAAAGCAUGUGUUUCUUGAUUCAUCGUGUGUUUUGAUGUGCUGAUUUGAAUAAAUAGACCUUGUGGGUAAGAUGAAGCUAAACCUUGCACAAAUCCACACAAACAUGAGAUUUCCAAGUAUUUCUUAGAAUGCUGUUUGCACAGUGUGUGUAUGAAUAAUGAUAUUAUUAUGUUUGGGUUUAUACAAGCAAACUGGAUUAAAAAUGUCUGACACUCUCCUUGACUGGAAUUCAGUCACGACUUUGACACACUUAUUACGCAGGAAUACUACCAGAAAUUACAGCUGCCACAGAUCUGACACACAUUCAGUCUCUCUAUCCUUGAUGGACCCUUUCCAUCAAAGGCAGUCCCUCAUUUUCUUCUUUUCGAAAUGUGUUUUUUUCACUUAAUUUCAGUAUGGCUAAAAUGACAGCCACAACUUAAAUUGCAUUCUCUCUGUCUGUGUCUCUCUGUCUGUGUCUCUCUGUCUGUGUCUCUCUGUCUGUGUCUCUCUGUCUGUGUCUCUCUGUCUGUGUCUCUCUGUCUGUGUCUCUCUGUCUGUGUCUCUCUGUCUGUGUCUCUCUGUGUGUCUCUCUGUGUGUCUCUCUGUCUGUGUCUCUCUGUGUGUCUCUCUGUCUGUGUCUCUCUGUCUGUGUCUCUCUGUCUGUGUCUCUCUGUCUGUGUCUCUCUGUCUGUGUCUCUCUGUCUGUGUCUCUCUGUCUGUGUCUCUCUGUCUGUGUCUCUCUGUGUGUCUCUCUGUCUGUGUCUCUCUGUGUGUCUCUCUGUGUGUCUCUCUGUGUGUCUCUCUCUCUCUCUCUCUCUCUCUCUCUCUCUCUCUCUCUCUCUCUCUGUCUCUCUGUCUCUCUGUCUCUCUGUCUCUCUGUCUCUCUGUCUCUCUGCAUGCUGGGAGUUUUUGGUGCGUGCUGGGAAUUGUAUGACCGAGGGAGUGCGUGUGUUGUGUAGAGUUAGAUAUUCAGAACUUUCUUUUGGUUUUCUCUUUCUUGGUGGCAUUCUUUGUUUUCUUCUGUGCAUGAUUAAGGUUAUUAUUUUUAUUUUAGUUGUGGUGUAAUUAAGUAUUUUGUUUUUCGUAUCGAAAUUACCCUGAUUUUGGCGGGGAUGGCAGCCCGAAUGGGGAUGCCGUCCCUGUCACUUAAGCAUGGCUUUAGGUGUGUUACUGAAGCUGCUGUCACGGUGGAGGAGUUUCUGGUCGCCGUAGGAGAGAAGGUAGGAUAUGAGAAUGUUGCUUAUGCGUCACAGAUGAAUAAAGCGGUGGUGGUAUUUCUUAAAGAAGAGCGCCUUGUUGAUCGUAUGGUUGAAUGUUUAUUCACGUUACGUCGCUUUUUUCUCCGUCAACAAGGGUAACGAUUUCAAAUGUACCGCCGUUUAUUCCAAAUGAGCUACUGGAGUGCGAGUUAUUGCACUUUGGGAAGUUUGCAAGUUCAAUUAAGGUUGUCCCGUUGGGUUGCAAACACCCGGCGUUGAAACAGGUUAUGUCGUUUCGGUGACAGGUGUUUAUGUUUUUGGACUCACCGCUGACUUUGGAGUUAUCGUUUAAAGUCAAAUAUGACAAUUGACUGUAUAUGGCUUAUGCUAGUACGGGUAGUCAACGGUGUUUUGAGUGUGGGGAUGUUGGCCAUAAGCGACAUGCUUGCCCGAAAAGGGAGAAGGCAGAGGGAGGGGCGCAGGUGGUCCUCGUAAUGCCUGGGCCCACUGAUGUAGAGAGAGGUGGGCCAACAGUGGUAGAGCAGCCACAAGCACCUGUUGCUGAGGAACAAGUUAUCCGUGUUGAGGCCACGGAGUUGCAACUUGUAUUAGAGGGAAAUGUUAUGCAGCAGAAAAAUAUUGUUGUAGAAGGUAAGGAUGGAUCUGAAGAGCCAGUUCCUCAGACUGGUGAGGAGAUGCCCAGUACGAGUAAUGGGGCACAGGAGGGGGUUCAUGUGGAGCUAAUCUCCCAGGUAGUGGAGGAGAUGCCCAGUACGAGUAAUGGGGUAGAGGAGGGGGUUCAUGUGGAGCUAGGCUCCCAGGUAGUGGAGGAGAUGCCCACUACGAGUAAUGGGGUAGAGGAGGGGGUUCAUGUGGAGCUAGGCUCCCAGGUAGUGGAGGAGAUGCCCACUACGAGUGCUGGGGUACAGGAGGGGUUCAUGUGGAGCUAGGCUCCCAGGUAGUGGAGGAGAUGCCCACUACGAGUAAUGGGGUUCAGGUGGGACUAGUCUCCCAGGUAGUGGCGGAGAUGCCUGGUACGAGUGAUGGGGUGCAAGUGGGGAGUGUUGAAAGGGAUGUGGUAGAAGGGAGUCAGUGGUCUGUGGCCUCAGCUGAGGAGGAUCAGGAGAAGGAUAUGGAUAUCUCUUUUGAUAUGAUAGGAGCUGGUGAGGACUCAAUUUAUGAUCAAGAGGAGGUAAAUGGGUUUCUGGAUAAGACUUUUGGGAAAUCUGUCAAAUUGGCAGAUUAUUUUGAUGUCGAUAAGUUUGUGAGGUCAGCUGUGACGUUACAGAGACGGUGGGGUUAGACCAGUUGAGUGAGAAGAAGUGGUUUCGCUUGAGGACAUUUUUUACUGCUAUUGCAGCAGCAAAAGGUGGUGGGAAACGUGGUCAGGUUAAUAAGAGAACAUUUAAAUAAUGACGAUGAUCAUGCUUCAUAGGGUGUCUUUUUGUCACGAAUCCCGCUUCCUGAGUCUGGGUUUGCCUGUGUGUCUGUCCUGGAGUGUGUUUCAGGUGUCCUGGAACGCACCCUGUCUGGUUGCCGGGCGAAUUAGCUCGUUGGGAGAUUGAUGUUCACCCGCACCUGUUUCCCAUCAGUAAUCUGCACACCUGUCCUGAUCAUCAUCUCUCCCCUUCAAAAGCUCUGACCUGACUUCCAUUCCCUGCCGGAUCGUUAGCCAUGAACAUUACUCACCUGGAUCAUUCUCUCCAUUCCCGCCUGGUUGACAGAGGAUUCAACUACUCCAUUGGAUUCACCUAUUUCCCCUCAUCAAUUCUCCACCACUGCCCGCUACGCCAUCUGGAUAUAUCUACCCUUUCACAUUUAAUUGUAAAUAAAUACUCACCUUCUUCUUA